UAUAUACUCCCUCCGUUCUAAAUUACUUGUCGAAGGAAUUGAUGUAUCUAGACGUAUUUUGAUUCUAAGAUACAUCCAACUUUAUCCAUUUUUGCGACAACUAAUUCCGGACGGAGGGAGUAUUUU
Non-coding RNA from Triticum aestivum (bread wheat), 126 nucleotides. NCBI's taxonomy places the organism in Eukaryota, Viridiplantae, Streptophyta, Magnoliopsida, Poales, Poaceae. The record is from Rfam.